UCGAUCCACCCCCACCGAUUUUCCUCCUUCUCUUUUUCAUGUGGUUUAUUUUCAUCCGUCACGGUUUUAUUUUCCCUGAACCAAAAAGGCGAUAGCUUAGGAGUCAGGAGCCCAGCCCGCACACCCCUCUCUCUCCCCUCAGCAACGGAGGCACGCAACACGGACGCACUGCACCGUUCCCAAGAUGCACUAGGGCCAGCCCGCCACUGAUGGCGAUGGCUAUCAAAUGGCAACUACGGCGACGUUGACGCGCUUUAUCCCCCACCGCUGCCGCCUCCUGAGCGGCCGAGAUCCCGAGCGUGGUGAGCUCCCUUCCCUUCCCCACUUCCUCGCUACCAUGCCCAUCCCUACCCCCGUUCUAUUCCCAAGGCAACGGCCCCACGGUCCCUCUAACCUAGGAUUGUCGACCUGAUCUGUCGGCGUGCACAUGAUGAUGGUGGUGCCGAUCUCAAUCUCCCUGAUUUGGUUUGACUGAGAAUCAUCGAUGUGUGGGCGACAAGCAGAUUUCCUUGGAUGUCUCCAUGCCACGCUACCGUGCUCGAUUUCAUUCAGAGGCUUCAGGAAAUAUUUGUGGUCAAGCAAGCGGGAUGCUCUUCCUCCAUGCAUGCACAUGUUCUGCAUUAUGGGUUCUUUGGUCUCCUGCUAAGUACAUUUGGUGCUCUUUGACGCUCAUGUGUUCCUUUGGCUAGCUUUCAGAUGAAGACUGAAUGCACGUGCAAGUACGAUCAGGAAGCAAUCGAGGAAUAUAUGAGACUAUUUCCGCAAUUGUUGUCCCUAGCUCCCUAACUCCGUUGAGUCGAUAACCAUAUUAUCCUGUGAUAUGGGUUAAGGAAGACAAGGUAGUGCACUUCCAGAUGUUUGUCCUCCUCUCCAAGACGAUGUCAGUUUGGUUAUGCAUGCGGAAUGUUUUCUUGAUGUCAUGCAUAUUACAAAGGCUUCUAUGGAUCUUGAAGCUUUUGCUUGUAUCAUCUAUUAGAUAUUUUUUCUGAACUCUCUAUGUUAUCCCUCUUUGCACUGACCUAUAAUUUUUGUUUGAGCAGGGAUAGUGCAGCGAACACGAGCAAAUAAAUUGGUAGAAGGUGCAGACGACUAUCUGAACCAAGGCUUGUGUAAUAUGUAAAGUGAGUGGCAGAUGCAGUAUCUAGCUCUUUGAUAAGUAUUGGGAUGUAGGUAGGACACAUCUAAUCUGAAUUGAAAUAUGGAUGGCGUGAAUAGUCUGUAUGUUCGAUUUUCGAUUGAAUGUUGAAUUAUUAUCAACUAGAUCUACCUCCACCGACAUUACUAGCUCCUCCUUGAAUACCAACUAUCGGAAAGAGAGCAAUGGUACUGUGAUUGUACUGUUUUAUGCCAGGUGUUAAAGAAUACUAUUUGCAAUCAGUUAGCAACGAACUGACGGUGCAUUAUAUUGUAUAGAAGGUUCUUUUGAUCCUGAAAAGCCAAUUGUGCAUUUA
Molecule: long non-coding RNA, 1451 nt
Organism: Triticum aestivum (bread wheat)
Lineage: Eukaryota; Viridiplantae; Streptophyta; Magnoliopsida; Poales; Poaceae
Exons: 3
Source: RefSeq, a predicted model, not a curated record